AAACGCUAGGGGUGGGGAGUAGUAGUAGUAGUAGUAGUAGUAGUAUGAGGAGGAGUAGGAGGAGUAGUAGUAGGAGGAGGAGGAGGAGGAGGAAGAGGAGUAGAAGUAGUAGUAGUAGUAGGAGUAGUAUUAGUAGGAGGAGGAGUAGAAGUAGUAGUAGUAUGAGGAGGAGUAGGAGUAGUAGUAGUAGGAGUAGUAGUAGGAGGAAGGAGAGGAGGAGGAGGAGGAAGAGGAGUAGAAGUAGUAGUAGUAGGAGUAGUAGUAGUAGUAGUAUGAGGAGGAGGAGGAAGAGGAGUAGAAGUAGUAGUAGUAGUAGUAUGAGGAGGAGUAGGAGGAGUAGUAGUAGGAGGAGGGGGAGGAGUAGAAGUAGUAGUAGUAAGAAGAGGAGGAGGAGGA
Ictalurus punctatus (channel catfish) is the source of this 396-nucleotide long non-coding RNA. The record is from Ensembl. Lineage: Eukaryota; Metazoa; Chordata; Actinopteri; Siluriformes; Ictaluridae.